CACCUGUCUGCCUUUCUGAAGCAUGCUUCUUGGUCCUGUGCACUUCGCAGGUGAUGGUGUAAAAGGCAAACCUGUGUCAUGAGGGAUGAUCAUCGUCUUGUGUGGUCCUUGGAGAUGGCAGGAAGCCCUGGACAAUACACAGUGUUUGCUCCUUCAGAGGCUGUUGGAAUCCUCCUGGAUGUAAGUGAUUCUACUCCAAAGCACCCUGAGUUUCCUCAUUUGCAGGGAUGGAGAUUGUGUGUGGAUCGAUGAUGACUUCCAUAUAUACAUUCCUUGGAAAGCUGAACAAAAUGAGUGAAAACUCUAUACCGUCAUCCUCGUCGAACUGAGGUCCAGCACACUGCUCCAUCAGGGGCUCAAGAGAGAGAAGAACAACGUCCAUUUGUUGACACAGGCUGCACCAAGGCUUCGGAUGGGGUCUUUUUCUGGCAAAGGAGAGUAGCUGGGAAUUUUGGACAUUUGUAACUAAGAGACAGCUUGGUUGCAGGCAGUCAGGUGGUGUGGGCAUGGAAGGAAGGCCAGUGGAGACAAUGGAUGAUCUUGCUCUUAGAAGAUCACUGGAGGUGGCAGGGAGUCCUAGGACACGUGUGGCGUGGGCCUCUUCAGGUGCUGGUGGUGUUGGCAUGAAAGGAAAGGAGGUAUCUUCGAGGGACAAUCUUCGCCUUGUGCGAUCCUCGGAGAUGCCACGAGAACUCUGGACACAUGUGGUGCGGGCUCCUUUGGAGGCUGUUGAAUCCCUUCUGAAUGUGGUGCGGGCAUAGGAGGAAGGCCAUGAAGGACAAUCUUGGUCUUGGGAGAUCCUUGGAAUUGAUAGGGAGCCCCUUGAUAUGUGUGGCAUGGGCUCCUUCAGGUGCUAGCGGACUCCUUAGGAUGGUAAGUGUC
This 882-nucleotide long non-coding RNA is filed under the name Theropithecus gelada (gelada). Its description in RNAcentral is "lncRNA (ENSTGEG00000021784.1)". The stretch from base 243 to 334 matches the Rfam family "Small nucleolar RNA SNORD116". Lineage: Eukaryota; Metazoa; Chordata; Mammalia; Primates; Cercopithecidae. The record is from RNAcentral.